Molecule: ribosomal RNA, 402 nt
Filed under: bacterium
Lineage: Bacteria
Description: partial 16S ribosomal RNA
Rfam family: Bacterial small subunit ribosomal RNA
Source: RNAcentral
UGGGGAAUUUUGCACAAUGGGGGAAACCCUGAUGCAGCGACGCCGCGUGAUUUAGAAGGCCUUCGGGUUGUAAAAAUCUUUUUUACGGGAUGAAAAUGACAGUACCGUAAGAAUAAGGUCCGGCUAAAUACGUGCCAGCAGCCGCGGUAAUACGUAUGGACCGAGCGUUGUCCGGAAUCAUUGGGCGUAAAGGGUACGUAGGCGGCCUAGUAAGUUAGAAGUGAAAUAAUAUAGCUCAACUAUAUAAAGCUUUUAAAACUGCUAUGCUUGAGUGAUGGAAGGGAAAGUGGAAUUCCUAGUGUAGCGGUGAAAUGCGCAGAUAUUAGGAAGAAUACCGGUGGCGAAGGCGACUUUCUGGUCAUCAUCUGACGCUGAGGUACGACAGCGUGGGUAGCAAACAGG